UCCCUGGUGGUCCAGUGGGUAAGACUCUGCGCUUGCAAUGCAGGGGGCUGGGUUCGAUCCCUGGCCAGGGAA
Non-coding RNA from Kogia breviceps (pygmy sperm whale), 72 nucleotides. NCBI's taxonomy places the organism in Eukaryota, Metazoa, Chordata, Mammalia, Artiodactyla, Physeteridae. The record is from the annotation of a RefSeq genome assembly.